GAUGAACGCUGGCGGCGUGCCUAAUACAUGCAAGUCGAGCGAACGGACGAGAAGCUUGCUUCUCUGAUGUUAGCGGCGGACGGGUGAGUAACACGUGGAUAACCUACCUAUAAGACUGGGAUAACUUCGGGAAACCGGAGCUAAUACCGGAUAAUAUUUUGAACCGCAUGGUUCAAAAGUGAAAGACGGUCUUGCUGUCACUUAUAGAUGGAUCCGCGCUGCAUUAGCUAGUUGGUAAGGUAACGGCUUACCAAGGCAACGAUGCAUAGCCGACCUGGGAGGGUGAUCGGCCACACUGGAACGGAGACACGGUCCGGACCCCUACGGGAGGCAGCAGUAGGGAAUCUUCCGCAAUGGGCGAAAGCCUGACGGAGCAACGCCGCGUGAGUGAUGAAGGUCUUCGGAUCGUAAAACUCUGUUAUUAGGGAAGAACAUAUGUGUAAGUAACUGUGCACAUCUUGACGGUACCUAAUCAGAAAGCCACGGCUAACUACGUG
This 497-nucleotide ribosomal RNA is filed under the name uncultured bacterium. RNAcentral's name for it is "partial 16S ribosomal RNA". It matches the Rfam family "Bacterial small subunit ribosomal RNA", at positions 28 to 507 of the family's 1533-position model. The record is from RNAcentral.